RNAcentral lists this ribosomal RNA (507 nucleotides) under uncultured bacterium. Its description in RNAcentral is "partial 16S ribosomal RNA". The record is from RNAcentral.
GGAGUUAGCCGGUGCUUCUUCUGUGAGUGAUGUCCUUCCUGCCGGCUAUUAACCCGCAGGCCUUCUUCCUCACUGAAAGUGCUUUACAACCCGAAGGCCUUCUUCACACACGCGGCAUGGCUGGAUCAGGGUUGCCCCCAUUGUCCAAUAUUCCCCACUGCUGCCUCCCGUAGGAGUCUGGGCCGUGUCUCAGUCCCAGUGUGGCUGAUCAUCCUCUCAGACCAGCUACGGAUCGUCGCCUUGGUGAGCCGUUACCUCACCAACCAGCUAAUCCGACAUAUGCUCAUCCGAUAGCGCGAGGCCCGAAGGUCCCCCGCUUUCCCCCGUAGGGCGUAUGCGGUAUUAGCCUGGGUUUCCCCAGGUUAUCCCCCACUACCGGGCAGAUUCCUAUGCAUUACUCACCCGUCCGCCGCUCGCCACCAGGGAGCAAGCUCCCCGUGCUGCCGCUCGACUUGCAUGUGUUAGGCCUGCCGCCAGCGUUCAAUCUGAGCCAGAAUCGAACCCUGA